Molecule: long non-coding RNA, 1909 nt
Organism: Harpia harpyja (harpy eagle)
Lineage: Eukaryota; Metazoa; Chordata; Aves; Accipitriformes; Accipitridae
Exons: 3
Source: RefSeq, a predicted model, not a curated record
CCGCCGGCUACGGCAGCUGAGGAGGCUCAGGCGGCGCAGAGCGCGCGAACGCGGCGGCUCCGGGGCCUCCGGCGGGGCCCUGCUGAGAAGUCUGAGCAGGGUCUGGCAAUUGGAGCAUGGCAACAGCGUCAAGGGAUUCACACCCAACUUCAAGGUCACACUCGUCUCAAGUAACUGAAGGGGUGACUCCAUCACGCCGUUCCUCGCUUUUCUCCUUGACUGAAUGUGGCAAAUAGAUGGUCCAUGCACCACGCUCUCAAGACCAGCACAUUUGGACUCCUCAUCAAGAGAAAUAACGAGCUCCAGAGCCAAGGGACCUCUGCUGUGAACGCCCUACCCACAGAUGUUUAGCAAUCAUAAAUAAGGGCUAAUCUCAGCUCUGGUGACAGCACAUGUGGAGAUAGAGUUCUCUUUGCUAUUUUAUUGAAAAUGUAUCCAUCCAAAGUCCUACAGGCAUGCUGAAAAUUCUAAUUAAAAUUUGUAUGCAUACUCCUUGGAACAAUGUCUAGGACUAAAACCCCUCCCAACAUCUUUCUCUACCCAGAAAUCAGAGAUCACCCAAGCAGGCUUUUCUCUCCCAGUAGCCUUGAGGUUGGGUUAGCCAGGCUACCCUCAUAGCAUACCCCACAGAGAGGGAGCCUGGAGGUCAAAAUCUCUUUCUGUGGGGGAGGUUGUUCCCAUUGUGCUGCAAUAUGAGGCACAUUCCCCCAGAACAGCUCUCCCAACUGCCACCAGACCAUUUGCCUAUGUUUCUGUCUCAGUAGCUGCAGCUGCCACUUUUUACCUCAUUUCUUGCCCUGUUCAGAAGAGCACCAACCGUACGCAUUCUGUUUCCACUGGCUAUGGAUUUGUGCUUACCUGGCAAAGUUAUUCCACUUGAAAGCAAGAGGAAUCAGUUGGAAAUUAAAAAACAACAACAAACCCAAAACAAGCAACAACAACAAAGUCAAGACCAGUGUAGAUACCUGCAGCUAUUCAGCAUAAAAAGCUUGAGUUUGCCAAGAAUUUUGAGAGUCCAUCCUUAGUAUCUCUUUUUUGUAAAAUGGGAUUUCAGCCUAGAGAACUAUUUGCUGUAUUUGAAAAUUUCACUUCCAUAAUAAUGUACUAAUGCAAAUUUCUUAAAAAACAUUACAUUUCUUCUUCAGAAAGCUUUGCUCUAACCAUUUCAAAGUCUCCCAAGUCAUACAAAGCCUGUGAGUUUCUCCUGGGAGACACUUGCUCAGAGGAACAGUGUUAAGAAAAACACUGAAUUCACCACGUGCCUUCUGCUCUUUGAAACACCCAAAUAGCUUGGAUGUGUACAUGUAAGCUUCUGUGGAAAGCAUUGAGUAAAUAUAUCUACUUGAUUUCUAUAGUUUUAAUAUGCUUUAGAUCAUUAGUCAAGCUUACAGGAGACCAGCAGUAGUUUUUGAGCCUUUUCUAGCAGCCUCUGCCACACUGAAAUGAAGAUGUUUAAUAUCUGUAAUGACAUUACUCCAUCUUCUUAUGCUGUAUAAGUCUUACUGAUAUUUAUCCCAUGGUAGUUAUUAAAAAGUAGGCAUUUCUUUCAGCAGCAGCUUAAGCAGCUCCCUUUUGGCCUGUCUAUGCCCCAUCCUCUCCCGCUUACCGGGUGUGCUGGUGCAACUUGUGGGAUAGCAGCAGCAAACUCAACUACCUUAAAGUUUCCCAAGUGUGGGGGGAAUUAGUUAUGAUCCACUCAGUCUUAAGCCACUUAUUUGUUUUGGCCAGGAUACAUCUGUAGUUGAUCACUCAAUUCUAUCCAUAGCCCACUCCCCAUUCUGCAGCUAAAUAAAUGUCUCAUUUAAAGUGCUGCCUCCCUGGUAGAGAGAAAAAACAAAAAAAACUUGUAAAAAAAGUGAUAUGUACCUAUUUUAAGUGAACGGUAAGCAUAUUAUCAACUUCCAUAACA